RNAcentral lists this ribosomal RNA (433 nucleotides) under uncultured bacterium. RNAcentral describes it as "partial 16S ribosomal RNA". It matches the Rfam family "Bacterial small subunit ribosomal RNA", at positions 29 to 507 of the family's 1533-position model. The record is from RNAcentral.
AACGAACGCUGGCGGCAGGCCUAACACAUGCAAGUCGAGCGAGGACUUCGGUCCUAGCGGCGGACGGGUGAGUAACGCGUGGGAACGUGCCCUUUGCUUCGGAAUAGCCCUGGGAAACUGGGAGUAAUACCGGAUGAGCCCUUUGGGGGAAAGAUUUAUCGGCGAAGGAUCGGCCCGCGUUGGAUUAGGUAGUUGGUGGGGUAAUGGCCUACCAAGCCGACGAUCCAUAGCUGGUUUGAGAGGAUGAUCAGCCACACUGGGACUGAGACACGGCCCAGACUCCUACGGGAGGCAGCAGUGGGGAAUCUUAGACAAUGGGGGAAACCCUGAUCUAGCCAUGCCGCGUGAGCGAUGAAGGCCUUAGGGUUGUAAAGCUCUUUCAGCUGGGAAGAUAAUGACGGUACCAGCAGAAGAAGCCCUGGCUAACUCCGUG